This is an unclassified non-coding RNA of Gorilla gorilla gorilla (western lowland gorilla), 102 nucleotides long. It matches the Rfam family "Y RNA". Rfam says of the family: Y RNAs are components of the Ro ribonucleoprotein particle (Ro RNP), in association with Ro60 and La proteins. The record is from Ensembl. NCBI's taxonomy places the organism in Eukaryota, Metazoa, Chordata, Mammalia, Primates, Hominidae.
GGCAGGUCCGAGUGCAGUGGUGUUGAUAACUAAUUCAUUACAAUCAGUUACAGAUUUCUUUGUUCCUUCUCCACUCCCACUGCUUCACUUGACUGGCCUUUA